GCAGAGGGAGAAUCACCCUGAGGACCAGAGUCUCCCCAGAGGCCACGAGACAGGGCGAGUGUCAAAGCUUGAGGUGCUACUGCCAUCUUCAGGGGACAGGCUGGAAACCGAGCCUGAGGAACACAUCUCAGGACCAGCAUCUCGUGCUCACAGCCCAGCCCACUGCUCCUUCACUGGGCUAUCUGGAAAAAGUGAACUAGCUUCUUUCAGGCCUCAGUUUCCCUAUUUUUCCCUCUGCCAGUCGCCCUUGGGUCUCCCUAUGUAGUCCAGGCUGGCCUUGAACUCACAGCAUCCUUCUGCCUCAGCUUCCCAAGUCCUGGGAUUACAGGAUUUCCCUGCCCCUGUGCCUACAACAGAGACCUGUGUGCAGCAGGAGCUCCGUAAGUGCUUGUUGUGUGAAUGAAUGAAUGGUUACUUUGCUCCCUAGUCUUUUUUUUAAAACAGGAAACAAGAUAAACACCCCAACUCUUCCCUCCCAGCAUCUGAGACUUUGAUUUUUGUUGUUAUUGUUUGUUUUGAUUUGUUUUUUGAAGCACAUUCCACUAAGUCACUCAAUUGCCCAGACUGGGCUGGAACUUGAGAUCCUCCUGCCUCAGGCUCCCGGGAUGCUGGGCUGACAGGCGUGAACCAUCACACCCAGCUGAGGCUCCAUUUUCUUUGUCUGCUACGUGGGCGUGAGGAUUAUUUGGACUGUUUGGAGGUCUCACACAGUAAGUGUUUGACCCAGCUGGGCCUUGAUGCCUGGAGGGGGCUGAGGAGCUACAUGGCGCGGAGUGUGAGGGCCAGGACAG
Heterocephalus glaber (naked mole-rat) is the source of this 791-nucleotide non-coding RNA. The record is from RefSeq and is a predicted model, not a curated record. Lineage: Eukaryota; Metazoa; Chordata; Mammalia; Rodentia; Bathyergidae.